This is an RNA transcript of Vigna angularis (adzuki bean), 2196 nucleotides long. It is a transcript of the gene named shaggy-related protein kinase epsilon, with no coding region annotated. The transcript is spliced from 12 exons. The record is from RefSeq and is a predicted model, not a curated record. NCBI's taxonomy places the organism in Eukaryota, Viridiplantae, Streptophyta, Magnoliopsida, Fabales, Fabaceae.
CUUUGUGCGUGCUGGUCUUGCUGGUCUUCCAUGUUUUAAUCUAAUCUAUUCAUUCCACACGAAAGCUCGUAACUCAGUCAAACCUGCAAGAUACGUCUCUGAAACUAAAGCUCACACUCACUUCCUCACGCGCUUUUCUUUGAUGCAAGAAAUCAUCUUUCUUUUUCCGGUUUAAACUUUGUUCCUCUCUUUCUUUCUCACUCUCUCUCUCCAAGUGGAGUUUUCAUUUGGAUGGGAAAAUGUCAGGGUCUCGUGGCAUAUUAGCAGGUUUAGGGUCUUCUUGGUGAGAAAAAAAAGUACAUUUUCUUCUCUCCUUUUCAGUGUUGUGUUUUUCCAAACAUGUGGAGCUCGGUUAUGGUGAUUUUACUUCUGCGUAGGUAUUCUUGUCUAGACGUAGCGUUAGUUUUGCAACUUUCGUUAAGUUGAACCAAUGACUCAAUAUCUUAGAGCUUUUUUGGAUGUUGGGAGGUAGCUUAUUUUCUUGCGUCUUCUUAGCAGCCUAAGUUUGGGAAGGGGAGCAGCAGUUUUUUCUAGCUAUAAAUAGCUAACUGUCCUUUGAGUUCGCAAUCCUUUUUCUUUUUUAAUUUUUAAUGUACUUAUUUGUCUUUCAAAUGCUGCUGGGUUGUUUUUCGUUUGUUUCGAUUUAUUGCACUCAUUACUUUGUUUUUCGUUUCAAUUUAAUGCACUCACUACUUUGCUGGAAAUUAAGAUUCAUGAGUUGUUAUUUGAUUUGGUAAUCGAUGAAAAAUGUUCACAAUGUAAGUAUUGAUUAGGUUUCUCAUGUAACUUCGGUGCAUUGUGAAGUAUGCGUAAGCCCGUGUGGGCCUUCUCUAGUGAAUAAUACGAGUCGUGCCAUUUCCAAUUAUUUUGAUAUUGUGACUGGUAUUAUUGCUAUUGAUUACAAAAUGAUUGUUGGUCUUUUCUUUCUUCUUUUGGUCUGGUGCUACAUAAUGAAUUGCUAUGUAUUACUGAUAUGGACUCUGAUGAUUUACAUUCAAAUGGAACGUGGUUGGGGAUACUAACUUUAGCGUACUCUGUUUAUGGUUGUGCUGAUCUACAGUGUUGAUUUGAAGGUUUUGAUUAACUGAAAAGGUUUGAUCUAUCUUGGUUCAGCAUAUAUGGCCUCUACUAUUGGUAAACCGGGUGAUGAUUCCAUGAUAGUUGAAAAGCUCCCGGAGGAGAUUAAUGAAAUGAAAAUCAAGGAUGAAAAGGAAAUGGAUACUGCAAUGGUGGAUGGAAAUGGAACUGAAACUGGCCGUAUUAUUGUGACCACUAUUGGUGGUCGACAAGGUCAACCUAAACAGACUAUAAGUUACAUGGCAGAACGUAUUGUUGGACAAGGCUCAUUUGGUAUUGUGUUUCAGGCUAAAUGUCUUGAAACUGGAGAAACUGUAGCAAUCAAGAAAGUUUUGCAGGAUAAAAGAUACAAGAAUCGCGAAUUGCAAACAAUGCGCCUUCUUGAUCAUCCCAAUGUUGUAUCACUAAAACAUUGCUUCUUUUCUACCACAGAUAAAGAUGAACUCUAUCUCAAUUUGGUACUUGAAUAUGUACCUGAGACUGUAUAUCGUGUGGUGAAGCACUAUAGCAAGGCAAAUCAGCGGAUGCCCCUAAUAUAUGUUAAACUUUACACAUAUCAGAUUUGUAGAGCCUUGGCUUAUAUUCAUGGAUGUGUUGGAGUGUGCCACAGGGACAUUAAGCCACAGAAUCUGCUGGUAAAUCCUCAUACACAUCAGGUCAAACUUUGUGAUUUUGGGAGUGCAAAAGUUCUGGUCAAGGGUGAACCUAACAUAUCGUAUAUCUGCUCUCGAUACUAUCGAGCUCCUGAACUCAUAUUUGGAGCCACUGAGUAUACUACUGCAAUUGAUAUGUGGUCUGUUGGUUGUGUCCUGGCUGAGCUGCUCCUGGGGCAGCCUCUGUUUCCAGGAGAUAGUGGAGUUGAUCAACUUGUUGAAAUUAUCAAGGUACUCGGGACUCCCACUCGUGAGGAAAUAAAAUGCAUGAAUCCAAAUUACACAGAGUUCAAGUUCCCUCAAAUCAAGGCUCACCCCUGGCAUAAGUAGAUAUUCCACAAGCGUAUGCCCCCAGAAGCAGUAGAUCUUGUUUCAAGGCUUCUCCAGUAUUCUCCAAAUUUACGAAGUACUGCUUUGGAUGCAUGUGUUCACCCAUUUUUUGAUGAACUCCGCGACCAUAAUACCC